GAUGAACGCUAGCGGGAGGCUUAACACAUGCAAGCCGAGCGGUAGAGUCUCUUCGGAAACUUGAGAGCGGCGCACGGGUGCGUAACACGUGUGCAACCUACCUUUAUCUGGGGGAUAGCCAUUCGAAAGGAAGAUUAAUACCCCAUAAUAUAAUGAUUGGCAUCAAUUAUUAUUGAAAACUCCGGUGGAUAGAGAUGGGCACGCGCAAGAUUAGCUAGUUGGUGAGGUAACGGCUCACGAAGUCAAUGAUCUAUAGGGGUCCUGAGAGGGAGAUCCCCCACAGUGGUACUGAGCCACGGGCCAGAGACCUACGGGAGGCAGCAGUGAGGAAGAUAGGACAGUGGGUGAGAGCAUGAUCCAGCCAACCCGCAUGAAGGAUGGCGGCGCGCUGGAUUAUAAACUUCUUUUGGUCAGGGAUAAACCUACCCUCGUGAGGGUAGGUGAAGGUAAUGUGCGAAGAAGCACCGGCUAACUCCGUG
This 479-nucleotide ribosomal RNA is filed under the name uncultured bacterium. Its description in RNAcentral is "partial 16S ribosomal RNA". It matches the Rfam family "Bacterial small subunit ribosomal RNA", at positions 28 to 507 of the family's 1533-position model. The record is from RNAcentral.